UACGGAGGAUGCAAGCGUUAUCCGGAAUGAUUGGGCGUAAAGCGUCCGCAGGUGGCUGUGUAAGUCUGCUGUCAAAGAGCAAAGCUCAACUUUGUAAAGGCAGUGGAAACUACACGGCUAGAGUGCGUUCGGGGCAGAGGGAAUUCCUGGUGUAGCGGCGAAAUGCGUAGAGAUCAGGAAGAACACCGGUGGCGAAGGCGCUCUGCUAGGCCGCAACUGACACUGAGGGACGAAAGCUAGGGGAGCGAAUGGG
RNAcentral lists this ribosomal RNA (253 nucleotides) under uncultured bacterium. RNAcentral's name for it is "partial 16S ribosomal RNA". It matches the Rfam family "Bacterial small subunit ribosomal RNA", at positions 524 to 776 of the family's 1533-position model. The record is from RNAcentral.